GGUGUUUACUGUCGAACUGAACACUCUACCGUUUACUGUCUGGUGGUGCUCUUCACCGAGUGUCACCAGUGGUCGGUACGUUUACUUUGAAAAAAUUAGAGUGCUCAAAGCGGUUUUUACACGACCGAAUACUGUUGCAUGGAAUAAUGAAAUAGGACUUUGGUUCUAUUUUGUUGGUCUUCGGAACCAAGGUAAUGAUUAAGAGGGACAGACGGGGGCAUUAGUAUUGCGACGCUAGAGGUGAAAUUCUUGGACCGUCGCAAGACUAACUAAAGCGAAAGCAUUUGCCAAGAAUGUUUUCAUUAAUCAAGAACGAAAGUUAGAGGUUCGAAGGCGAUCAGAUACCGCCCUAGUUCUAACCAUAAACGAUGCCAACCAGCAAUCAGCCUGUGUUCUCUUGAUGACACGGCUGGCGGCUUCCGGGAAACCAAAGUCUUUCGGUUCCAGGGGAAGUAUGGUUGCAAAGCUGAAACUUAAAGGAAUUGACGGAAGGGCACCACCAGGAGUGGAGCCUGCGGCUUAAUUUGACUCAACACGGGGAAACUCACCCGGCCCGGACACUGUGAGGAUUGACAGGUUGAAGCCCUUUCUUGAUUCAGUGGGUGGUGGUGCAUGGCCGUUCUUAGUUGGUGGAGUGAUUUGUCUGGUUAAUUCCGAUAACGAACGAGACUCUAGCCUACUAAUUAGACCGUGGCGUCCUCGUGCCGCCACGGCGCUUCCUAGAGGGCACAGACGG
This 736-nucleotide ribosomal RNA is filed under the name uncultured eukaryote. RNAcentral describes it as "SSU rRNA". It matches the Rfam family "Eukaryotic small subunit ribosomal RNA", at positions 671 to 1427 of the family's 1831-position model. The record is from RNAcentral.